RNAcentral lists this ribosomal RNA (440 nucleotides) under uncultured bacterium. RNAcentral describes it as "partial 16S ribosomal RNA". It matches the Rfam family "Bacterial small subunit ribosomal RNA", at positions 338 to 795 of the family's 1533-position model. The record is from RNAcentral.
CCUACGUGAGGCAGCAGUGGGGAAUAUUGCACAAUGGGGGAAACCCUGAUGCAGCGACGCCGCGUGAGUGAAGAAGUAUUUCGGUAUGUAAAGCUCUAUCAGCAGGGAAGAAAAUGACGGUACCUGACUAAGAAGCCCCGGCUAACUACGUGCCAGCAGCCGCGGUAAUACGUCGGGGGCAAGCGUUAUCAGGAUUUACUGGGUGUAAAGGGAGCGUAGACGGCCAGACAAGUCAGAAGUGAAAGCGCAGGGCUCAAACCUGGGACUGCUUUUGAAACUGCCGGGCUGGAGUGCAGGAGAGGUAAGCGGAAUUCCUAGUGUAGCGGUGAAAUGCGUAGAUAUUAGGAGGAACACCAGUGGCGAAGGCGGCUUACUGGACUGUAACUGACGUUGAGGCUCGAAAGCGUGGGGAGCAAACAGGAUUAGAUACCCGGGUAGUC